AACGAACGCUGGCGGCAGGCUUAACACAUGCAAGUCGAACGCCCCGGUAACGGGGAGUGGCAGACGGGUGAGUAACGCGUGGGAACGUACCCUUUACUACGGAAUAACUCAGGGAAACUUGUGCUAAUACCGUAUGUGCCCUUCGGGGAAAGAUUUAUCGGUAAAGGAUCGGCCCGCGUUGGAUUAGCUAGUUGGUGGGGUAAAGGCCUACCAAGGCGACGAUCCAUAGCUGGUCUGAGAGGAUGAUCAGCCACAUUGGGACUGAGACACGGCCCAAACUCCUACGGGAGGCAGCAGUGGGGAAUAUUGGACAAUGGGCGCAAGCCUGAUCCAGCCAUGCCGCGUGAGUGAUGAAGGCCCUAGGGUUGUAAGGCUCUUUCACCGGUGAAGAUAAUGACGGUAACCGGAGAAGAAGCCCCGGCUAACUUCGUG
Molecule: ribosomal RNA, 432 nt
Filed under: uncultured bacterium
Lineage: Bacteria
Description: bacterial SSU rRNA
Rfam family: Bacterial small subunit ribosomal RNA
Source: RNAcentral